UGUUCAUUAUAAAUGAUCGCUUCAUGCUUCGGCGUGAUGAGGAAAGUCCGAACUUCCAACCGCUAAUCUUUUCCACCAAUUGACACCAAUAAUUAGUGUGGAUUUGUGAGAUAGAUUAGUGGUUAAUAAUGUAGCGGGUAACACCCGUCGGUAUACUGGCGACAGUAUAUUAGGGAUAGUGCCACAGAGACUAUACUAGCCUCGCUUCGGCAAGGUGAAACGUGAAAAGAGUAUGGAGGUUUUUGUUCUUAAGACAAAAGCUACUAUACUUCUCCCGCUAUACAGCGGGAGGCGGUAAACCCUACAUGGGAGAAAGAGCAGCGUUCUAAUUUAUUAGUUCGAAAAGUUAGCUCGUUUGAUCCCGACAGCAAUGUCGGGACUAGAGAAAUGAUCAUAGUCCACUAAUCUUUUCCACUAAUUCACACUAAUAAUUGGUAUGGAUUCGUGAAAUAGGUUAGUGGUUCACAAAAUUCGGCUUACAGUAAUGAACAAGAU
Molecule: RNase P RNA, 495 nt
Filed under: bacterium
Lineage: Bacteria
Description: RNase P RNA component class A
Rfam family: Bacterial RNase P class A
About the family: Ribonuclease P (RNase P) is a ubiquitous endoribonuclease, found in archaea, bacteria and eukarya as well as chloroplasts and mitochondria. Its best characterised activity is the generation of mature 5'-ends of tRNAs by cleaving the 5'-leader elements of precursor-tRNAs.
Source: RNAcentral